UACAGAGGGUGCGAGCGUUAAUCGGAAUUACUGGGCGUAAAGGGCGCGUAGGCGGUGAAUUAAGUUAGAUGUGAAAUCCCUGGGCUUAACCUAGGAACUGCAUCUAAUACUGAUUUGCUGGAGUGCAGUAGAGGGUAGUGGAAUUUCCGGUGUAGCGGUGAAAUGCGUAGAUAUCGGAAGGAACACCAGUGGCGAAGGCGGCUACCUGGACUGACACUGACGCUGAGGCGCGAGAGCGUGGGGAGCAAACAGG
Molecule: ribosomal RNA, 253 nt
Filed under: uncultured bacterium
Lineage: Bacteria
Description: partial 16S ribosomal RNA
Rfam family: Bacterial small subunit ribosomal RNA
Source: RNAcentral